CUCGUAGGUGGCCAACUAAGUCAGACGUGAAAUCCCUCGGCUUAACCGGGGAACUGCGUCUGAUACUGGAUGGCUUGAGAUUGGGAGAGGGAUGCGGAAUUCCAGGUGUAGCGGUGAAAUGCGUAGAUAUCUGGAGGAACACCGGUGGCGAAGGCGGCAUCCUGGACCAACACUGACGCUGAGGAGCGAAAGCCAGGGGAGCAAACGGGAUUAGAUACCCCGGUAGUCCUGGCCCUAAACGAUGAAUGCUUGGUGUGGCGGGUAUCGAUCCCUGCCGUGCCGAAGCUAACGCAUUAAGCAUUCCGCCUGGGGAGUACGGUCGCAAGGCUAGAAA
This 334-nucleotide ribosomal RNA is filed under the name uncultured bacterium. RNAcentral's name for it is "bacterial SSU rRNA". It matches the Rfam family "Bacterial small subunit ribosomal RNA", at positions 568 to 899 of the family's 1533-position model. The record is from RNAcentral.